Molecule: ribosomal RNA, 253 nt
Filed under: uncultured bacterium
Lineage: Bacteria
Description: partial 16S ribosomal RNA
Rfam family: Bacterial small subunit ribosomal RNA
Source: RNAcentral
UACGAAGGGGGCUAGCGUUGCUCGGAAUCACUGGGCGUAAAGCGCACGUAGGCGGAUCUUUAAGUCGGGGGUGAAAUCCUGGAGCUCAACUCCAGAACUGCCUUCGAUACUGAAGAUCUCGAGUCCGGGAGAGGUGAGUGGAACUGCGAGUGUAGAGGUGAAAUUCGUAGAUAUUCGCAAGAACACCAAUGGCGAAAGCAGCUCUCUGGGACGGUACUGACGCUGAGACGCGAAAGCGUGGGGAGCGAACAGG